This 468-nucleotide ribosomal RNA is filed under the name uncultured bacterium. Its description in RNAcentral is "partial 16S ribosomal RNA". It matches the Rfam family "Bacterial small subunit ribosomal RNA", at positions 28 to 507 of the family's 1533-position model. The record is from RNAcentral.
GACGAACGCUGGCGGCGUGCUUAACACAUGCAAGUCGAACGGAAAGGCCCUGCUUUUGUGGGGUGCUCGAGUGGCGAACGGGUGAGUAACACGUGAGUAACCUGCCCUUGACUUUGGGAUAACUUCAGGAAACUGGGGCUAAUACCGGAUAGGAGCUCCUGCUGCAUGGUGGGGGUUGGAAAGUUUCGGCGGUUGGGGAUGGACUCGCGGCUUAUCAGCUUGUUGGUGGGGUAGUGGCUUACCAAGGUUUCGACGGGUAGCCGGCCUGAGAGGGGAACCGGCCACCUUGGGACUGAGAUACGGCGCAGACGCCUACGGGAGGCAGCAGUGGGGAAUAUUGCACAAUGGGCGGAAGCCUGAUGCAGCAACGCCGCGUGCGGGAUGACGGCCUUCGGGUUGUAAACCGCUUUCGCCUGUAACGAAGCGUGAGUGACGGUAAUGGGUAAAGAAGCACCGGCUAACUACGUG